GCUGCGGUGUCCGAGUGGUUAAGGAGAUGGACUUGAAAUCCAUUGGGUUCUACCCGCACAGGUUCGAAUCCUGUCCGCGGCG
This 82-nucleotide transfer RNA is filed under the name Stomoxys calcitrans (stable fly). RNAcentral's name for it is "transfer RNA serine (anticodon UGA)". It matches the Rfam family "tRNA". From Rfam's summary of the family: Transfer RNA (tRNA) molecules are approximately 80 nucleotides in length. Their secondary structure includes four short double-helical elements and three loops (D, anti-codon, and T loops). Lineage: Eukaryota; Metazoa; Arthropoda; Insecta; Diptera; Muscidae. The record is from RNAcentral.